RNAcentral lists this long non-coding RNA (1073 nucleotides) under Capsicum annuum. RNAcentral describes it as "long non-coding RNA (CANN_LNC019170)". The record is from RNAcentral. Lineage: Eukaryota; Viridiplantae; Streptophyta; Magnoliopsida; Solanales; Solanaceae.
GAUGUGUCAUGGUGCUAUUGGUGUUUUUUCAUCGAAGAAAGAGAGGAAACGGGUGUUCUGAGGUGUGGUAGUAGAUUUUCACUAGGGGCGGAUGCACUAGUUCGUUUGGAUUUGUUGGACGACUAGAAGACUAUUCCCGAUGGUUCGAUGGCUAAAUGGCAAAGUGGUAAGCUAACAAAGGUGAAUAGGAGAGAGAGAGAGAGAAAGAAGAGAAGUGGACAGUUGGGUGGUAGCUGUGGUUGGUUAAACUAGUUGGGCAUCAAUUUCCGUAAAUCAAUGAUCAGAGAGAGAGAAAGAGAGAGUGUGGAAAGAGGUGGGUUAUGUGACUACGUGUAAAGAAAGGGGUUAGGGAUUUUGGUGUUAUUUAUAGGAAAAAUGAAUUUAAUCUUAGUCGUCGAUCACAUGGGAUCGACAAUUGUGAGUAAAAUUAUGAGGGGAGAUUAAAACUUAUUUAAGCAUUAAAAUUGAACAAAACUGAACACAAAAUAGGAUAAAAUUGACAUCAGUUAGAUAUAAAAGUGGCUAGAAAUUAAAUAAAUUGAAUAUAAUUGAAUGGAAUUGGAGAAAUGAUGAGAUGAAUCUUUGUACUUGUCUGUGGUUUUAAUGUGGACACUUCUAAUUAAUUUUUUGUCAUCUGAACCCUUAAACUCAUUAAAAAAUUAUAUUUUAAACCCUUUCUGAUCCGAUUAAUAUGAGUGUAAAACAAUAUACUAUAGAUGGUAUGCCACAUCAUUUUUAAAUGUCACGUAAGGAAUUAAAUAUUAAUAACACAUAAAAAAUAUAGAUAACAUUUAAAAAAAAAACUUUCCCUUCCCCUUCAUUUUUUGUCUUCUUCAUACUCCCCACCCUUAACCCAACUACACCCACUUCAACCUCUCAUAAUACUUUCUCAACCCUAUAACUUUAAUUAGUUCGCCAUUAAUCUAAAAAGGAAAAAUAGUUCGAUGGACCCUUGUAAUUGGUCUGAUUUGUAAAGUGGAUACUUUUAUUUAACCAUUUGUCAUCUGAACCCCUCAACCCAUCAAAAUCCAGUACGUUGAACCUUUCUUAUGCAUAUGUGGCAUUAAAUAGCU